GACGAACGCUGGCGGCGUGCUUAACACAUGCAAGUCGAACGGUAAGGCCCUUCGGGGUACACGAGUGGCGAACGGGUGAGUAACACGUGGGUGAUCUGCCCUGCACUUCGGGAUAAGCCUGGGAAACUGGGUCUAAUACCGGAUAGGACCCUGGGAUGCAUGUCCUGGGGUGGAAAGCUUUUGCGGUGUGGGAUGGGCCCGCGGCCUAUCAGCUUGUUGGUGGGGUGAUGGCCUACCAAGGCGACGACGGGUAGCCGGCCUGAGAGGGUGACCGGCCACACUGGGACUGAGAUACGGCCCAGACUCCUACGGGAGGCAGCAGCGGGGAAUAUUGCACAAUGGGCGCAAGCCUGAUGCAGCGACGCCGCGUGAGGGAUGACGGCCUUCGGGUUGUAAACCUCUUUCAGCACCGACGUAGCGCAAGUGACGGUAGGUGCAGAAGAAGGACCGGCCAACUACGUGCCAGCAGCCGCGGUAA
This 478-nucleotide ribosomal RNA is filed under the name uncultured bacterium. RNAcentral's name for it is "partial 16S ribosomal RNA". It matches the Rfam family "Bacterial small subunit ribosomal RNA", at positions 28 to 523 of the family's 1533-position model. The record is from RNAcentral.